CCCUUAGAUGUUCUGGGCUGCACGCGCGCUACACUGAUGCGAUCAACAAGUUUUUCCUAUGUCGAUAGACACGGGUAAUCUUUUGAACUCGCAUCGUGAUGGGGAUAGAUUAUUGUAAUUAUUAAUCUUCAACGAGGAAUUCCUAGUAGGUGCAAAUCAUCAGUUUGCAUCGAUUACGUCCCUGCCCUUUGUACACACCGCCCGUCGCUGCUACCGAUUGGUUGAGCUGGUGAAUUAUUCGGACUGCCGGCUGAAGGGGUUUCCUCAUCUGCCAGCGGAAAGUCUUGUUAACCCUAUCAACUAGAGGAAGCAGAAGUCGUAACA
Molecule: ribosomal RNA, 324 nt
Filed under: uncultured eukaryote
Lineage: Eukaryota
Description: partial 18S ribosomal RNA
Rfam family: Eukaryotic small subunit ribosomal RNA
Source: RNAcentral